RNAcentral lists this long non-coding RNA (277 nucleotides) under Gallus gallus (chicken). The record is from RNAcentral. Lineage: Eukaryota; Metazoa; Chordata; Aves; Galliformes; Phasianidae.
CUCGUAUGUAAGUUGGCUGGACAUCAAUAUCAAGCAGAGAAGUGUCCAGAUGUCUGUAAACAGCAAGAUCCAAGAUGAACUGAUUGUUUUCUUCAUCAUCUUUCAAAGAGAAAUGAAGCUUAGGCAUAUUGAUAUUCAGAACUUUUCCUUCUGCAGUGACCAGUUUUGGAAGAGGCUUCUCUCUCUUUUUUGAUCCUCUUAUAUUGUCUUUCGCUUUCCUUUUUUCUUCAAUAUAUCUGUGAGUUUCUAAUCUAGAUUCUGGAGUAUAUGGUGUUGG